Molecule: ribosomal RNA, 306 nt
Filed under: uncultured fungus
Lineage: Eukaryota; Fungi
Description: eukaryotic LSU rRNA
Rfam family: 5.8S ribosomal RNA (bases 1-52)
Source: RNAcentral
AACGCACCUUGCGCCCCUUGGUAUUCCGAGGGGCAUGCCUGUUUGAGUGUCAUUAAAUUCUCAACCUUUACUAGCUUUUUGUGAGCUAUGUAAUGGCUUGGAUGUGGGGGUUUUUUGCUGGCCUCGAAAGAAAUCAGCUCCCCUGAAAUAUAUUAGCUGGUGCCCCGCGUGGACCGUCUACUGGUGUGAUAAUUAUCUACGCCGUGGACUAUUCGCCGUUUUUAGCACUGCUUAUAAUCGUCUGUUCAUUCGGACAAUAUAUGACAAUUUGACCUCAAAUCAGGUAGGACUACCCGCUGAACUUAA